Molecule: small nuclear RNA, 103 nt
Filed under: Salvator merianae (Argentine black and white tegu)
Lineage: Eukaryota; Metazoa; Chordata; Lepidosauria; Squamata; Teiidae
Source: RNAcentral
UUGCUUUGGCAGCAAAUAUAGUAAAAUCGGAAUGAUACAGAGAAACUUAGCAUGGCCUCUGUGCAAAGAUGACAUGCACAGUCAUCAAAUAUUGCAUAUUUGA